GGGUCUAUAGCUCAGGUGGUUAGAGCGCACGCCUGAUAAGCGUGAGGUCAAUGGUUCGAGUCCAUUUAGACCCACCA
Molecule: transfer RNA, 77 nt
Filed under: Clostridium perfringens
Lineage: Bacteria; Bacillati; Bacillota; Clostridia; Eubacteriales; Clostridiaceae
Description: tRNA-Ile
Rfam family: tRNA
About the family: Transfer RNA (tRNA) molecules are approximately 80 nucleotides in length.
Source: RNAcentral